CAGACGGGUGAGUAACGCGUGGUCAACCUACCGUUGGGUGGGGGAUAACUAGCCGAAAGGUUAGCUAAUACCGCAUACGUCUCCGAGGGGCAUCCCUUGGCGAUAAAAGGAGCAAUCCGCUCGAUGACGGGACCGCGUCCCAUUAGCUAGAUGGUGGGGUAACGGCCUACCAUGGCACCGAUGGGUAGCUGGUUUGAGAGAGCGACCAGCCACACUGGGACUGAGAAACGGCCCAG
Molecule: ribosomal RNA, 236 nt
Filed under: uncultured bacterium
Lineage: Bacteria
Description: partial 16S ribosomal RNA
Rfam family: Bacterial small subunit ribosomal RNA
Source: RNAcentral